GAAUGGUCUAAGAUUCCUUUGCACUAUGGCUCCCCCUUCUGGUUCUGCAAUGAGUAGUUACAUUGUUCCUCAGAGUGCUGAAUUUUGAGAGCAAAGCAUUACAGAAAUGUAAAAAAAUCUUGAAGGCCAGAAAACAAGCUCAUAUUACCAAGUGUGAAAUUACAGCAAGUCUUACAGGCUGGGAACUGGAAAAGAGCUUCCCCAUCAUGGUGGAUUAUACAACCAGUGGUGGAGAGUAACUCCAAAAUAUAGCAUCUUUCUACUCAUCUUACUAAAGCUCAAAGAAGGUGAUCUACAAGGUACAUGCAAAGAUAAUGAAAACAAGGCUCAAAAUAAAAACAAGAAAUCUUUAUGAAAUUACACAAAGUGUAUGUGUUUGAACUUGGAUUUGCUUCCAACUCUGCUUGACUCUGAAAACCAUGCCCUUUCCUCUACAUGAUAUGUUCAUAUGCUCUACCCCACUUAUGGGUGGAAACUCCUCCGUCAAGCUUAUUUAAUCAAUGAAUGAAUGACUCUUCUAAAGGCAGAUACCAGCAGGUUUGGUGGUAGAGCCAGUCCUGCAAAUGUGCUCAAUGUCUUAAGCCACCUGACAGCCAGACUCCAUAUGAAAAGAUUUAACUUCUUAUUAAAAUACCUAUAAUAGUCCAGGUGCAGUGGCUCACACCUGUAAUCCCAGCACUUCGGGAGG
RNAcentral lists this long non-coding RNA (688 nucleotides) under Homo sapiens (human). RNAcentral describes it as "HSALNT0388542". The record is from RNAcentral. Lineage: Eukaryota; Metazoa; Chordata; Mammalia; Primates; Hominidae.